GGCAUGCCGGGCGGGCAGGUGGGCAGGUGCCUGGGCGGGGCGCGCCGUGGUUGGCAGCGGGCGGAGGGGCGGCGGCUGCGCACCCCGAAGAGUGGUAGGCGGAGCGAACGCCAAAGGCGGCGGUCGGGACCCUGACAUGGACAAGCUGAAGAAAGUUCUGAGCGGCCAGGACACCGAGGACCGCAGCGGUCUGUCCGAGGUUGUGGAGGCGUCGUCGCUGAGCUGGGGCACCAGAAUAAAAGGCUUCAUCGCAUGCUUUGCUCUGGGAAUCCUGUGCUCAGUGCUGGGGACUCUUCUGCUGUGGGUGCCCAGGAAGGGACUCGGCCUCUUUGCAGUGUUUUACACCCUGGGUAACAUCAUGUCAAUUGGGAGGUGGAAUCCAAACCGCGCUGCUGGAAUAUCUCUAAGCAUCCCCAUGCUGCUUCUCAGGCCGUGCUCUCUGUCUGCCGCCCUGCCCACGUCUCUGCUCCCCAGUCUGUGAGAUAACUUGCUCAUUUGUCAGAUCCUGGCUCUCAUCUCACCCCUCGUGCAGUGCGUGUUACCGUCUUCCUCAUGGGGCCGCUGAAGCAGCUGAAGCGCAUGUUUGAGCCUACGCGUCUCAUCGCCACAAUUCUGGUGCUGCUGUGUUUUGCACUUACCCUGUGUUCUGCCUUUUUGUGGAAUAAGGGACUUGCACUCAUCUUCUGUAUUUUGCAGUCUUUGGCCUUGACGUGGUAUAGCCUUUCCUAUAUACCGUAUGCAAGGGAUGCCGUGAAGAAGUGCUUUGCUGUGUGUCUUGCAUAACACACUGCCAGUGUGCAGGGAGCACCGUGGACGGAAGCUGGUGGACAAUUCUGUAAAUGUCCUCUAAACCUCUGUCUCACAGACACGUGCCUUCUGCUUGCAGCGGUGUGUGGCUUGCAAUUUGGACAUUUUUGAGGGUUGCCUGUGGGAAUAGUCAUGAGUCCUAGACCCUAAUGUCUGUAACACAAUCCGAGGCUCUGUGGCUUGUGUAGACAACUCUUCUUGUGACCAUUAACCUCUGGGAGGUAUUCCACUGACUUCUCACAGAGCAGCUUUGUCUGGUAGCAGCAGAUCAGCCUCAGGAGCAACUGAUUCCCAGGUGGCAGCAGGAAGGUCUAGCAGGGCUUCUAGCGGAGCAGCAGGAAGUACAGAAUUUUGAAGAUUUGCCCCUCACCAGGAAAACCAUUGCCACAGUCCCUGCACAGCGUCUUCCCUGCUGUUUGAGAACAAGUGAUUCUGCCCAGACCCUGGAGAGCCUGCCCGGGAUACAUUGUUCCUUUCCCUGCAUGGCACCGUCUUGCUAUUCUGAACUCAGCUGGCUAUGAAAUACACUUUUAGUGUUCAAUGUGGAUUCUUUCUCUUGCCCUUACCUCCUACGUCUUGUUUUGUCUUGUGACACCGGUUAAUUGCGAGUGAAGUAGUGACCUAAAAAGCUAUUUCCUUUCGGACAAGAGCCAUUAGAAAGUGAAACAUCUUCAUGUUCCUUGCUUUGUUUAUUUGCCCUCAUUAUUUAUAAAUGUUUACUUUCUGUCCUUUGCUGGAGUUGAGAUAAGGAAAGUACAUGGAAGAAAGAUCCCUCGUGGGCCAGCAAGAAGGCAUGCCUGCCAAGCAACCUAAAUGCUCCAGCGUUGACUCUCAGCCUGCACUGGACACUAGUAGUCAGCCUGUAGGUGGGCAUGCUGCAGCCUAGUGCCUAACCACACACAGCGUUCUUGUGUUGGGGACCUCAUCUGGUCCUCAUGAGAGCCAUAUGAGUUGUCUCAACUGCAGUCAAGGAACCGGGGCUCAGGUUGGUUUCUGUGUCACAGCUCCAGCUGUGGCUUGGCUCUCAGCCUCUGUUUUGACACUGAGUCUCCUGGCAUGGCUCUCCUCAGAGCGUCUGUCGUCUCUCAUAACUGUUCCUUUCAUCCUCCUGGCCUGUACCUUUUCUGAUUUCAGCAUCUAUGUCAAUUGUGCCACCUUCUACCCGCUCCCCCGUUUUGCUUUUUGGCAGCUACGUCUGCAUCUGUAGGAUGGCCAGCAUCCCGUGGUCCCUUUCAGCUGCUCAGUGCAUCCCUUGCAUCAUUAGUACCCUGUCUUGACAGCUUGAGGUCCUGGCAGUCUAUGUUUGCCCUUUGCUCAGGGCCAGCCUUGACCUCUGUUUUUUCACCACCAGACCACAGGAGGUGAGAGCACUCAUCUCUGCGGUUGUUGCCAGUUGCUGAACUGUGGCUAAUGACUGUCUUUUCUUCUGAGAUGGAGAACUGUGGAUAGGCUGAUCAGAAUUAGGGCAGAAGGGAGCUCAGUCUUUCCAGAUUCCAGCCAUGCUGUUGAAGGCAUCGAUGAGGUCUUCAGUCAGGAAGCAAAGUUACAUGCUACCCUCUGGCUGUGUGAGGCACAUUCAUGUCCCAGAAGCCUUGGGAAUCAGUUCAGGGCUCAGAAGGGCUCAGAUGUGAGAACGGCCAUUGGGAAAUUUAGGGAAACCCAUGGAUCCUAGCUGACAGGAGGAGUAGGGUCAUUGCUGCAAGCUCCAACCGCCUUGUAGUUAUGUACCUAAAAAGCUGACCUCUCCGUGCCCUUGUCAGGGACUGGGCUUGAGCCCAGGUAUCUUUUAAAGAUGGUAUAGCAAGGAUGAAGAGCAUAACAGUGUGAACAUGGGCUUAGAAAAUAAGCAGAUCCAGAUGUGGUCCAGUCCCAUGCUGGUGAUCCAGAUGUGGUCCAGUCCCAUGCUGGUGAUCCAGAUGUGGUCCAGUCCCAUGCUGGUGGAGGCCUUGGAAGUUACCUAAUGUUUGGUUCCUCAGUUUCACUGUUUCCUAAUAGUGGGCUGACAAGUCCUGCUGGCUCACUGGAGGAUGCCGGUGGAAGAGAAUGCAUCAAGGGCUUGGGGCGCAUGUGGCACAGCAAGUUGGGUCUCCAUGAACUAACUGAUGAGUGCUAAAGGUGACAGGAUGGGUGCCUGCCUGUCAGUUUGUCUAGCAUAUUCUGUGUCCAUCACUGUAGACUGUCAUGCAUUGUCUCACUGAAUGGUCACAGUGACUGUCAGGCAACGGAUAACUGCCUUCAUCAUAAAGUAGUAGUGGUCUCAGAAACUCCCAGGAGCAGGGGCCUCAGUGAGGGUGGUCUAGGUUGAGAUCAAGUCUGGAUAAAAGGCUUUGGCCUAAUUCCUACAGCCUGUGGCCAGUUUGCUUCAACAGUUUGUGUCUGGACACAUUUAAGCAGUUUUUGGAUGACUGUCUUCCAGAAUCUUCCAGACUCUCAGAUUUUUUUUUUCAGUUGCCUUAACCCUAGGUUGUUUCUGACCCUGCUUUUGCUGGACUAUAGAAGGAAGAAAGCCACUUCAUAUCUGCUAAAGUCUCCUACCAAGCCAGUAGUAUUGAUUAAAAGCAACUUAGUGAGUGAGGCUGAAGUGGAGAACUAGCCUCUGACUGUGGCUGUUGGUGUUAUCUGUUUCUCCUCCCUACCCUCAAUUCUUCCCCAUUCACACCCAUGGAGCAGGGCAUCCCUGUGUUGCCAACCAAUGGGGACUGUUGAGUGAUCACUGUAGAGGCAGUGUGGUCCUCAGCCAGGCUGGUUUCCAGGUGUGGGCCUGAUGCUGCCUUCCCUGGGCUGCAGUCUGGAGUGCUUCACUGAGAACACCAUUGUGCCUUCUGGACCAGGAGAGUAGCUUCGGAUCCCCUUGGCUGGUCCAACCUCUACUCCAGGCUGACUGUUGGGAUGCUGUGGGGUGGGGGCCUGUCCACUGAAUCCUGUCUCUCACUGUCCCUUUUCACAGAUCAAGCCUAAGGCAGCUUUUGUCUCUCCUGCUCCUCUGUGUGGCUGCUGCUCAGACCCCAGCUCUUAGGCAUCUUGUCUUGGGGAAGGGUGAGAUGCAUCCCCAGCUUGGCCUUUUCAGUGCUUGGGUGUCUGUUUCUCUCAUGGUGACUUUGUGGAUUAUGCCUUAAUUGCCACCCCCCUUCCACAUAGUCACCGUAGGCUGAGAGAACAAGAAAUGAAAUCAUGAAUUGCAUUCCAUAUACGAUUACUCUUUAAUACUUUGGUUAGAAUAAAUAAUUAGCAUCGGGGCAGUAUCUGAAAUGGAUGUGAAGGGCGGGGCUGGUUUGGCUUUUGUUGUUGGGAUCCCCGUGAGUGACAGGUUUUGCCGUGCACGGGAUGAGACUUGGUGGAAUGAAUUGGUCAGUCGAGGUGCACCCAUGGCUGUGGAUUUCCUUUCCUUUGUGCACCCUCUGCCUACUUCCUGACUUUACUCUUCCUCUGGUAACUUCUCAGUAGAGUCAAUUACAACCAAGCCUAAAACUUAUUUUUAGUUAAUUAAAAAUAAAAUAAAAUCAGUGUUUAAAGCAGUAUAAAGAUGCCUGCUAGACUUUGUGGCAGUUUGGUUUUUACUGUUCAAGUAUUUUUUUUUUUAAUAAGUUUAAUAAUGUGCUUAUAGAUAACAUCCUUUUAAAAGUGAAUGAACCUUAGCUGAAGUUCAUUGCAAAUAUACAUUUUCCCCUAGAAAUCUAAGCUGCUUAGGAAGUUUUAUUAAAAGGAUUGCUUAGGGGGUGAUCUUAAAGUACCUGCCAGUUCACGUUUUGCUUUGAGAUCUUGUGUGUUUUUCGGCUAGCGAAGGGGGAACGCAGUGGAGUUUGUUUAAUCCCAGUUUGCUCGGGGUGGAGUGUUCUGCUUUGAGUAUUUCCAGCCCUGCUGUGACUGUGGGAGACAUUUGAAAUUAGCUGGUGGCAGAGCCUUCCUUCAUAUAAGCUGACAAUAUCAAGUCAGAUACAUUCUGUCAGGAGCUGGUAACUGACAAGGUAGACUCGGGAUGCACAGAGUGGCUUUCUGCAAACUGGCUGAUCUGAAACCAGAGAAAAAUAGGCCCAGUAUAUAGGAAUUCUGUUGAAGCUGAGAGGUCAGCCCAUGGCAUCAGAACAAAUGAUGACACAUGCUCUGUACUCAGAACAAUGGCACUACAUGUCUAGAGUGCCUGCCUAGCAUGGAGCCUGUGGUUCAGUCCCUGGAAAUGCAUACACUGGGCAUGGUGGUGCAUGCCAAUAUCCCAGCACUUGGGAGGUAGAGAGAGGCAGGAGGACCUAGAGUAUAUUGGACCCUAUCUUUAAAAUAAUAAUAAUAAUAAUCAAAGACCAAGUCUGGUGUUUGGACCCAUGCACAUGGCUCCAUCUGUUAAAUGUUCAAAAAAAAUGUUUUUUUUUCUGGCCUUUUCAUUGUCUUUGCUUUACCUUGAAUAAGGAAGGCAAGGUAAACAAAGCAAGCCUCCCUGGACUCCGUCCUUUGUAAUUCUGACUGUGAAGUUGCCAGUGAGGGUGUGCAGAAGCCACUGAUGAAGGCACUGGCUUCCUUGUGUGGGCCCUGGGCACCUGGGCACACUCCCUGGGAGUAAAACCAAAUUCAAAUGCCGGUGGUGGAUUUGUAUGCCUUUAGAACAUUGUGCCUGUUCUCAUACAGUGAGCUUUCAAAACAUUUUGUUUAAAAAAACAAACAAUUUUUAUAAUUGUGUAGGUAUAGUUGAUUUUGAAUGCUACGGAUUGUAUAACUGAAAUUUUAUAUACAAAAAUAUAUUCUUGAAUACUGCCUUUUCUGUCUUGAGGAUCUGGUUCAUGUGGUUUCGUUUUCCUCCCUUCAUAGAGAAAGAGUGUUGCUGGGGAGAGCUACCUCUCCCUUGCACAGCUGUUUCCUCCCCUUUCUUUUCUCCAAUAAAUGGUAGCAUUAUGAUCCUUAA
RNA transcript from Mus musculus (house mouse), 5698 nucleotides. It is a transcript of the gene named SFT2 domain containing 2, with no coding region annotated. The record is from RefSeq and is marked validated. The transcript is spliced from 9 exons. NCBI's taxonomy places the organism in Eukaryota, Metazoa, Chordata, Mammalia, Rodentia, Muridae.